This 301-nucleotide ribosomal RNA is filed under the name uncultured bacterium. Its description in RNAcentral is "partial 16S ribosomal RNA". It matches the Rfam family "Bacterial small subunit ribosomal RNA", at positions 509 to 807 of the family's 1533-position model. The record is from RNAcentral.
CAGCAGCCACGGUAAUACGUAGGUGGCGAGCGUUGUCCGGAUUUAUUGGGCGUAAAGGGAGUGUAGGCGGUCUUUUAAGUCUGAUGUGAAAGCCCACGGCUCAACCGUGGAGGGUCAUUGGAAACUGGGAGACUUGAGUGCAGAAGAGGAGAGCGGAAUUCCAUGUGUAGCGGUGAAAUGCGUAGAUAUAUGGGGGAACACCAGUGGCGAAGGCGGCUCUCUAGUCUGUAACUGACGCUGAGGCUCGAAAGCGUGGGGAGCAAACAGGAUUAGAUACCCCAGUAGUCCCUGUCUCUUAUAC